UUCAUUGUUCGGAAAACUAGACAUCUCUCUUAUUAUUUUUUUCAUCUACUGAAGAGAAUUGGAGUUAACUAAUAUUAGAAGACAUUAACAAAGAACAGACACGCUGACCACUGCUUUCGUCCAGCCUCAUCUCCAGCAUAUGACCUAACGUAUACAACCACCAUCGUGAUCCGGCCUCGUCUCCACAAUUGAAGACGACAAAAAACAAACUGACGAUGACUUGAAAACGAACCACAAUGAUGGCUGAAGACGUCAAGUCGGUGGUUUUGGCGAUGUUUGGAGCUAGUCGUUGGCCAUUCCUGGUCGUUGGCCGUUCCUUGUCAGUGGUUUGACGACGUACGUGAGGCUGUUAGCUGGACGAAGAAGAUGAAGCAGGGGUGGUCGGUGUUGCUGGUGGAGAAGACGACGAAGGUUGGAGGGAAGCUGUAUCGUCAUUAUUAGGGUUCGUUACUGGACAGAGUGGUAUUUAGGUUCGUGGUUGUUUCAAUGUGACAGGCUGCUCCGGUGGUGAAUGGUGAUUGGAGAUGAUGCUUUGGUAGAGGUUGACGGGUGGUGAGGAUGGAGAUGACGGGGUCACUUGGGAGAAGGUGGGACGGGCAGUGGGGUGGCGGCUUGGGUGUGUUUGGAGAAGAUGAAGAGAGGCUAGGGUUUUUC
Molecule: long non-coding RNA, 654 nt
Filed under: Nicotiana benthamiana
Lineage: Eukaryota; Viridiplantae; Streptophyta; Magnoliopsida; Solanales; Solanaceae
Description: long non-coding RNA (NBEN_LNC030891)
Source: RNAcentral